This 1549-nucleotide long non-coding RNA is filed under the name Aquilegia coerulea. Its description in RNAcentral is "long non-coding RNA (ACOE_LNC001057)". Lineage: Eukaryota; Viridiplantae; Streptophyta; Magnoliopsida; Ranunculales; Ranunculaceae. The record is from RNAcentral.
AUGUAACAGGUAUGAAUUCAUAACUUCUAUCAAUUCACCAAACACCAGGACUGCACCAAAAGCACCCAAAACUCAGACUCAUUAAUUCACCAAGUAAUUUUUAUUAACCAAUGGAUGAUACAAACUGUGAUAUUUACAGGUGAACUAUCACAUUCUAACAACAUUAGAUGAACACUCAGAGUCCAACUUUUAGCUUAUAUGGCCUGCCCGGUCUUUAUAUUUGUGGAUGAGAAAGCAAGGAAAGAGAUGGAAAUGAAAAUGAAGAUAGGAACAGGUGAUAUGGAAGAAAAAAAAUCAUCUAUCAAAUAAAAUCUUAUCAUAUGUGUCAUUAGAAACAUGUAAAACCCAGAAAUGACUGAAUAAAAAAACCACAAAAUCCAGACCUAGUUUCCCAAAUGUUUUCAAUACAAAAAUCCACAUUUUCACUUGAUUUAUGUUCAGCACCUAUUUAAACAUUUUGGGUGCACCAAAAAACACCUACAUCGCUUUACGAAUAUUUCUUCCUUCCUAACCAAAUAUCACCAUUCAAUUAUAGCUAACCAUUCAAUUAUAGCUAUAGUAAAAUUCAUUGGAACAUUUUGUCAAAUACUAAGUAUGCACAUAAACCCGUCAAAACCCCAGUCUCAAACUUUCAAAUACCCUUAAAAUUUGCAAGAAAAAAUUAACCUAAAAAAGAAUAAUACUUACAUUACAAUGGCAGAUUCUAAAAAGUAGUAGAGAUACUCAAUUUCCGAUGCUAUCCAAUCCCACCAUUCUUACUUCUGAAUUAUUAUUUAUAUUUAUUUUUUUGCUUCCAAGUUAUUUUGACAAAGCUGAUGAAAAAGAAUUCGUCAUCUAUAUAUCUAUAUAAUAGCUAGACCCAAUGGGUCCCACACUCUCUCUCCUAUGUGGCAUUUUAUAUGAUCAUCAAGUUCUCACAAAUUUUCUCCUAUAAAACAAAUUAAAAAAAAAAAAAAAAAAAAAAAAAAAAAUUAUACUAAUUGGUUCUAUAACUAAAUUUUCCCCAUUUCCCAAUAAACCCAAAAAAUUUCUACCCACUUUCUCUACUCUCCUAAUAAAAUAUAAACACAAAUAUUUCAAUAAAAUUUAAAUCAAAACAACAAAUAUAUUCAAAACACAAAUUAAUCAAAUAUAACCAAACAUAAUAAUUUAUUAUAUAUACAUAUAAAUAAAAAAAUAGUACAAAUAACUUUGAUAUUAUAUAAAUUUAAAACUUAUAAAAAAUUUCUCAUGCAAAAUCUCCAAUCCCGGUGUGUAACACGGGGUCCACAGCUAGUAAGUACUUUAAUAUUCUAAGACUUUUCGAAUUAACUUGCCAUGAAUCUGUGCUCUUUUCUCCACCUAGAUCUCUUCAAAUCCUAUUGAAGAUAUGUUGUUACUAGCGUAAUGUCACACAAAUUGAAAGGCUCGAGACAAUUAAAUUGCUCAAUACAUUCCAAUACCACCCAAUCCCAUCAGUUCUAAACUUUUUCUUCCCCACUUCAAUUACCCACAUUCCACUCAGAUUGGCCGCAUAGCUAGCUAGUGUUCCUUUGAAAGUUUCCAAUCU